UGCGGAGGGUGCGAGCGUUGUCCGGAAUCAUUGGGCGUAAAGGGCGCGUAGGUGGCCCGGUCAGUCUUUGGUGAAAGCGCGGGGCUCAACCCUGCGUCGGCCAGGGAUACUGCCGCGGCUGGAGCACUGUAGAGGCAGGCGGAAUUCCGGGUGUAGCGGUGGAAUGCGUAGAGAUCCGGAAGAACACCGGUGGCGAAGGCGGCCUGCUGGGCAGUUUGCUGACACUGAGGCGCGACAGCGUGGGGAGCAAACAGG
RNAcentral lists this ribosomal RNA (255 nucleotides) under uncultured bacterium. Its description in RNAcentral is "partial 16S ribosomal RNA". It matches the Rfam family "Bacterial small subunit ribosomal RNA", at positions 524 to 776 of the family's 1533-position model. The record is from RNAcentral.